UACGUAGGUCCCGAGCGUUGUCCGGGUUUAUUGGGCGUAAAGCGAGCGCAGGUGGCUUAUUAAGUCUGGUGUAAAAGGCAGUGGCUCAACCAUUGUAUGCAUUGGAAACUGGUAGACUUGAGUGCAGGAGAGGAGAGUGGAAUUCCAUGUGUAGCGGUGAAAUGCGUAGAUAUAUGGAGGAACACCGGUGGCGAAAGCGGCUCUCUGGCCUGUAACUGACACUGAGGCUCGAAAGCGUGGGGAGCAAACAGG
This 252-nucleotide ribosomal RNA is filed under the name uncultured bacterium. RNAcentral describes it as "partial 16S ribosomal RNA". It matches the Rfam family "Bacterial small subunit ribosomal RNA", at positions 524 to 776 of the family's 1533-position model. The record is from RNAcentral.